GGCUCCUACGGGGCGCAGCAGGGGGGAAUAUUGCACAAUGGGGGAAACCCUGAUGCAGCGACGCCGCGUGAGCGAAGAAGUAUCUCGGUAUGUAAAGCUUUAUCAGCAGGGAAGAAAAUGACGGUACCUGACUAAGAAGCCCCGGCUAACUACGUGCAAGCAGCGGCGGUAAUACGUAGGGGGCAAGCGUUAUCCGGAUUUACUGGGUGUAAAGGGAGCGCAGGCGGCGCG
This 231-nucleotide ribosomal RNA is filed under the name uncultured bacterium. RNAcentral describes it as "partial 16S ribosomal RNA". It matches the Rfam family "Bacterial small subunit ribosomal RNA", at positions 334 to 582 of the family's 1533-position model. The record is from RNAcentral.